RNAcentral lists this long non-coding RNA (306 nucleotides) under Ananas comosus (pineapple). Its description in RNAcentral is "long non-coding RNA (ACOM_LNC023802)". The record is from RNAcentral. Lineage: Eukaryota; Viridiplantae; Streptophyta; Magnoliopsida; Poales; Bromeliaceae.
UAUUUUGCAACAAUGCCACUUUGCAGACCCUCUCUUCGUAGUCGGGCAUAUCAAGGAAUUAGUAAGAGAGUGGAGGGACUUUUGUUGAGCUAAUUAAAUAAACUGUUGAUUACUUUUGUUGUUAUUUUUCUUUUCUUUUUUCUUAAUUUGAGCUAUAUUUUUCUUCUCCAUGCCAUAUUGUCUCACUGUUUGUAGCCAAGUUUAUUUUCGAAAUGAAUGAAGCGGGUAGCGUGCAACUUUUUCCUCAAAAAAAAAUAAAUUAUGCAACAAUUUAAUCAUCUAUCACUUACUUUCAUUUUAACCUUU